UGAGGGUAGUUCUGUCUGUCACCACUUCUUCUGUAGUAAGCAAUACUACCUGUAAGUAGGUAGAUGCCCAAAGCAUUGCUGUGGGUUUCUCCCGUUGCUGCCUUCACCCCAGCCACAUCCAGACUCACUGGUGCCUCUGCUCUUCUAUCUGAACAUCUUUGCUCCUGGCAAGAGCUCUCCUGUGCUGCCUGAUUUCUGUCCUUUCGACAGGCCACCUGAACUCCAGGCUUACCUCCUUCCUGACCAGGGUGUAUCCGCAUCACCUCUCUGAAAUUAACUUCUGACCCAAAUGAGCUGUCAUUUCCCAGAAUCUCUGCAGCUUUGGAGGUGGGAGUGGUUCUUGGGAGUGAGAGUCUAAGAAGAUUUCUUUUUUAUAUAAUUUCCAGGAACUGCUCAUCUGUGCUACAGACGCAUGCUGCUCAACCUUCAGUGUGUCAUGCUGCUCUUCAGAAUGACUUCCAGUGCAGUACUGAUGUUCUGAUGACUACAGUCAUGGUCUGCUGCUGCUGCAGUAGGUCUACUCUUGCUAAACUGAAGAAGACUGUGUCUGCUGGGUCAUCAAAGAUGGAUGUUGCUGCCUACACGUGCUAACUCCAGCUGACAAGGAGGGAAAAAAGGGAGCUUCAAUGAGUUACUACAGCUUUGAUCCUCUGUAGAAAAAAGGAGAUGCUCUGCCAUAACUCUGAGCAGAAUCAGCAGGAGUUCCAGGAACUGCUCAUCUGUGCUACAGACGCAUGCUGCUCAACCUUCAGUGUGUCAUGCUGCUCUUCAGAAUGACUUCCAGUGCAGAACUGAUGUUCUGACGACUACAGUCAUGGUCUGCUGCUGCUGCAGGACUUGAACCACAGGGCCUGUUGCAGGGGUUGGAGCAACCACAUGGCCUAUAUGGAGAGUGGACAUUGUAUGGAAUAUAAUUUAAGAAUUACACCUGGCAUGUUUAUCCUAUGGACCACAUGAGGCCCAGCCCAGCUUGUACUGCAGCCAUCCAUUGCCCUGAGCCAUUAUGGCAGCAGCUCUGCCCCACUGAGUGGCCUAUGUAUAUGCAGCCCAAGACAAUUCUUCACUCAAUGAGGCCCAGGCAAGCCAAAGGGUUGGACACGUGUAUAUUACACUGUAUAUAUAUAUGACACUCUUAAAAUAUUGUCUAGCAUACAGAAUACUUGUGAUCACUUAUCCUUUCUUUAAAAUACGUGUGAAAUUGGACUGGGACAAUAAGAGAGAAAAAAAUCAUGGGAAAGAUGCUCCAGAGCCUUCACUCAUUUUGCAAACCAAGCUUCAAGUCCGAUCCCUGUGCUUUUGACUGGGUCUUUCUUCUCUUCAAGAGUAUUUUUCAAGGAAGCUCACAAGGUGGUGCUGUAUCAUCUUCCAUGUCAGAGCUAGGAAAACUGUUUCAUAUUGACCGAAACCAGAGCGGAACAGAUUCACCCUUCCAGACUGAUUUCAACCCACCUGGUUUGGUUUUGGUUUAGUGUUUUGGUGGUUUUCAUUUUGUUUUUAUUUUCUUUUUCUUCUUCUUUUCCUUCUUCUUCUUUGAGCCUCUGAGAAUUGACUGUUGGUACAGCUCUGAGGAAAGGGAUUUACUCUUCCUGCUAACCUCUGAAGUGAUGAUGUACAAGAAAUUAAAUCUGAUUUUUCUUGGGAUACACCCAGAAAACUAUGAAGGUUUCUCCUAUCUAGGCAUACUCCUAAAUAUUUGCUUAGUACUCUCUUAUUUUAGUUACUUAAGGGAAAUGCAGUGCUGAAUAACUGCAGGACAGAAAGUUACAUCACAGUCAAUAGAAAAAAAUGCUGUGCACGUUUGGAUAGCUAUAGGGUUGAAAUUUUGGUGGGGGGAAGAAUGUGGACAGACUAUAGUUUAAACUUGUUUCUUCUCUUCAAAAUGUAUUUGGCACAUCCCAAAGAAUUGACACAUCUACAAAGAAUCUGCUUUGUCAUUGGAUGCUCUGAACAUGCGGGUUGCACGCAAAGUAUUUAAUUCCUUGCAACACACUCAUAUCUGGAGAAAAUUCUUUCACUUCUCUCUCCUGGGGUAAUUUCAAAUUAUUUCACUCCAUGGGCUUCUUUUCAGUUAAUUUUAGUAUAAUCUUACUCUUUUAACACUUUUCUCAGUGCUGCUCCCCCCCGCCUUCUAAUUCAGCUGAUUUGUUAUGUGCUAACAGCUACUUUGAAAGAAGAAAAUUCAAGUAUUAUGAGUGAGGCAUAUCUAUUGCUCUCUAAAAAAGGGAGGAGGCCAUAUAUGCUCAUAGAAGACACUAAACCGCUUAUAUAAUUAUUGCUGUUUUAAUGUAACUAUUAAUGUACCGCAUCUCAUGUCAUAUCUUGCAUUUUGGUCCUAUGAGGUUAUAGUUAAAGCAGCCAAAUAGUAUGAGAGGAAAAAUGCUCUUUGUAAACUCUUCAGAAAAGGAGGAAAAUCAGCCCAGAAAUGUUUCUAGGUUCAUUCCUUUCUAGAUGUGUAAACAAGAGGGAGCCCACAUGGGUAUUGUGAGGUUUGUGCUUACUAAAGCAGCUAUGACUGAUAAAAGCCUUUCCAGUCUGGAGAUGCUGUGCAGCUUGCUCCUGGAGAUGUGUGGGCUGAAUUUUGGCGUUGAUAGUUCUGCUUUUCAGUGGCAUAAAGAAAACACUUUGGUUAUAAUAAUUAAAUAUUCUUCUGGAAUGCGUUUUGUGUAUGAAGAGCUUUUUUCCCAAGAAACGCUAAGGGAAGAAUGAUUCUUUCCUACCAGGCAGCUCUGGGUCCAAACAUGCCUGCAGAGCACCUGAGGUAAAAUCAUUUAUGUCUAAAACUGUGAAUCACCAUGAUCCACAGCUGUUGCUAAAGAAUGGCCCCGCUUAUGGACCUGCCAUGUUUCUGUCCCUUGUUCUUAUGAGAAAUGCAAGCUGAUCUCCUAGAAACCUUCCCAGCAGGUUCUGGUUCCAGGAGCCCCCAUCUUUCAACAAUGGAGGAAAAGAUGUCUAGGCUUGAAAAGAUUUUUCUUUAAGUCCUAACCUGUUUCUAAUCAUGAUUACAUAUGCAUCACAAAGGCUCUAAUAGAGAUCAAAGAGGAUCUAUAAAAUGGCGACUUCCUGGUUUUGAUUUGCAAUUUUCUCUCUGCUUCACUUUUCUUCACAUAUUAUAUUGCUUUUUUUAAAUAAUUCCCAGUGGGAGACUCAUCAUCUGUGAGAUACCUGCCAAGAGCCCACCAGUUAAGAUGGAGGGUGCAGUGGAAUUGCCAGGUCACAGCCUGAACCAAUGGUUGAUCACCAGGUGAGAAGGUGUGGCUAAUCCAGGGAGCUCAGGUGCAAGCAGUGCACCUCACUGAUUGUAAUGGGUGGAGCCAGGAUACACCCCUCCUCACCCCUCAUUUAAGGGUUAGCAGCU
This is a long non-coding RNA of Gallus gallus (chicken), 3355 nucleotides long. RefSeq lists it as uncharacterized. The record is from RefSeq and is a predicted model, not a curated record. The transcript has 6 exons. Lineage: Eukaryota; Metazoa; Chordata; Aves; Galliformes; Phasianidae.